This 514-nucleotide ribosomal RNA is filed under the name uncultured bacterium. RNAcentral describes it as "partial 16S ribosomal RNA". It matches the Rfam family "Bacterial small subunit ribosomal RNA", at positions 28 to 523 of the family's 1533-position model. The record is from RNAcentral.
GACGAACGCUGGCGGCGUGCCUAACACAUGCAAGUCGAACGGGGUGUUAGCAAUAACUCCUAGUGGCGAACGGGUGAGUAACGCGUAGACAACCUGCCUCUAAACUGGGGACAACACCGCGAAAGUGGUGCUAAUACCGAAUGUGGUAACUUGAUCGCAUGAUCGAGUUAAGAAAGAUGGCCUCUAUUUAUAAGCUAUCGAUUAGAGAUGGGUCUGCGCCUGAUUAGCUAGUUGGUGAGGUAAUGGCUCACCAAGGCGACGAUCAGUAGCCGGUCUGAGAGGAUGAACGGCCACACUGGGACUGAGACACGGCCCAGACUCCUACGGGAGGCAGCAGUGGGGAAUCUUCCGCAAUGGACGAAAGUCUGACGGAGCAACGCCGCGUGAGUGAAGAAGGUCUUCGGAUUGUAAAGCUCUGUCGUUUGGGACGAACGUGGGUAGUGUGAAUAAUGCUAUCUAAUGACGGUACCAAAGGAGGAAGCCACGGCUAACUACGUGCCAGCCGCCGCGGUAA